Molecule: ribosomal RNA, 468 nt
Filed under: uncultured bacterium
Lineage: Bacteria
Description: partial 16S ribosomal RNA
Rfam family: Bacterial small subunit ribosomal RNA
Source: RNAcentral
GAUGAACGCUGGCGGCGUGCUUAACACAUGCAAGUCGAACGGAAAGGCCCAAGCUUGCUUGGGUACUCGAGUGGCGAACGGGUGAGUAACACGUGGGUGAUCUGCCCUGCACUUCGGGAUAAGCCUGGGAAACUGGGUCUAAUACCGGAUAGGACGAUGUUUUGGAUGCCAUUGUGGAAAGUUUUUUCGGUGUGGGAUGAGCUCGCGGCCUAUCAGCUCGUUGGUGGGGUAAUGGCCUACCAAGGCGUCGACGGGUAGCCGGCCUGAGAGGGUGUACGGCCACAUUGGAACUGAGAGACGGGCCAGAGUACGACAGGAGGCAGCAGUGGGGAAUAUCGCACGAUGGGCGGACGCCUGAUGCAGCGACGCCGCGUGGGGGAUGACGGCCUUCGGGUUGUAAACACCUUUCGCUAGGGAAGAAGCGUUUUUGUGACGGUACCUGGAGAAGAAGCACCGGCUAACUACGUG